RNAcentral lists this ribosomal RNA (192 nucleotides) under uncultured prokaryote. RNAcentral describes it as "partial 16S ribosomal RNA". It matches the Rfam family "Bacterial small subunit ribosomal RNA", at positions 524 to 715 of the family's 1533-position model. The record is from RNAcentral.
UACAGAGGUCUCGAGCGUUAGGCGGAAUCACUGGGCUUAAAGCGUGUGUAGGCGGGUCGGUAAGUGUCUUGUGAAAUCCCAUGGCUUAACCAUGGAACUGCUGGGCAUACUGCCGAUCUUGUGCAACCUAGGGGCGAGCGGAACAGAUGGUGGAGCGGUGAAAUGCGUAGAUAUCAUCUGGAACGCCAAUGG